Molecule: transfer RNA, 63 nt
Filed under: Typhlatya consobrina
Lineage: Eukaryota; Metazoa; Arthropoda; Malacostraca; Decapoda; Atyidae
Description: tRNA-Gly
Source: RNAcentral
AUUUUUCUAAUAUAAUAGUAUAAUUGACUUCCAAUCAAUAAGUCUGGGACUCCAGGAAAAAUA